Molecule: long non-coding RNA, 486 nt
Organism: Mytilus californianus (California mussel)
Lineage: Eukaryota; Metazoa; Mollusca; Bivalvia; Mytilida; Mytilidae
Exons: 4
Source: RefSeq, a predicted model, not a curated record
UGCUAUGCAUGAACUCAAAAGCGCGGGAACACUAUGUAGACUAUAUAAAGAUGUGUUAUUAUUUGAUAUAAGGAGUGAGAAUUGUGUCAGUCGCCGGUACAGAUUUACAAUAUGAAAACUGGUGUUGCUGCUCUCCUUUUGCUUGUUUGCCUUUCCGGUUUGAUGAUUGAUCAAACAGAAGGAAAGUCAUACAGAUGUAGUUGGGGAGGUUGUCCGUGGAAUUUAUCCUGUCACCUGUGUUGUAAACACUUGAGAAAGGACUGUGGUAGUGGACGGUGUACCGGGGGCUGGUUUAAGCACACAUGCGAAUGUACUGGUUGCAAUUAAGAUGAGAAUGGCAAUGCAAGAUGCUCAAAGAUAACUGAAUGUUUUACUGCCAAGCCAGAACACCUCAUCAGUUGUAAUAAAGUCGGAUCAUCUCACCUCAUCAGUUGUUAACUUCUGUUAUUCUUUCUUUGUUAUACAAAUAAAAAAGUUACAACUAAA